Uranotaenia lowii is the source of this 441-nucleotide long non-coding RNA. RefSeq lists it as uncharacterized. The record is from RefSeq and is a predicted model, not a curated record. Lineage: Eukaryota; Metazoa; Arthropoda; Insecta; Diptera; Culicidae. The transcript is spliced from 3 exons.
AUGUUUGCAAUCGUUGAAGUGUUUGUUUUGUUUAUAGUUCUGCGUUGUACCUAAUUUCUUUAAAAUCUCUAAACUACGAGAGUUGUGAUGCUACUAUGAGUUAUCUGGGGUCGGAAGCAGCAGCAGUCCCGCCGCAGAUUCAACGAAAUUAUAACAGCUGCCGUCACGUCUUUGGAAUGUUCCGGAACUCCGUACAUUUGCAUCAUCAGGAGGUUCCAAAAAUAUGCUAAGAAAAACUGGCACUAAAAACACAGCAGAGCGGGAAGCUGAACAGUUAACACUCAAGGAUAGGCAGCAGCGCAAGAUCCGUAGCAGCAGCCGACGCAAUCAUUCCCUCCGCCGGCUGAACUUUCUUCCGCUAAAGCAACAUAGAAGUGCCAGUAGAUCGAGCUAUAUAAAUAACAUUAAUAUACAUAAAACGUGAUAUUUAACAUAUUGGGU